Molecule: ribosomal RNA, 563 nt
Filed under: uncultured bacterium
Lineage: Bacteria
Description: partial 16S ribosomal RNA
Rfam family: Bacterial small subunit ribosomal RNA
Source: RNAcentral
UGGGGAAUAUUGCACAAUGGGCGAAAGCCUGAUGCAGCAACGCCGCGUGCGGGAUGACGGCCUUCGGGUUGUAAACCGCUUUCAGCAGGGACGAAGGUUUUCUGACGGUACCUGCAGAAGAAGCACCGGCUAACUACGUGCCAGCAGCCGCGGUGAUACGUAGGGUGCGAGCGUUGUCCGGAAUUAUUGGGCGUAAAGAGCUUGUAGGCGGUCCGUUGCGUCGGAAGUGAAAACUCAGGGCUUAACCCUUGAGCCUGCUUUCGAUACGGGCGGACUUGAGGGAUGUAGGGGAGAACGAAAUUCCUGGUGGAGCGGUGGAAUGCGCAGAUAUCAGGAGGAACACCAGUGGCGAAGGCGGUUCUCUGGACAUUUCCUGACGCUGAGAAGCGAAAGCGUGGGGAGCAAACAGGCUUAGAUACCCUGGUAGUCCACGCCGUAAACGGUGGGCACUAGGUGUGGGACCCAUUCCACGGGUUCCGUGCCGUAGCUAACGCAUUAAGUGCCCCGCCUGGGGAGUACGGCCGCAAGGCUAAAACUCAAAGGAAUUGACGGGGUCAUAGCUG